GACGAACGCUGGCGGCGUGCUUAACACAUGCAAGUCGAACGGAAAGGCCCCUUUGUGGGUACUCGAGUGGCGAACGGGUGAGUAACACGUGAGUAACCUGCCCUUGACUUCGGGAUAACUUCAGGAAACUGGGGCUAAUACUGGAUAGGAAUCCUUGCUUCAUGGUGGGGGUUGGAAAGCUUCGGCGGUUUUGGAUGGACUCGCGGCUUAUCAGCUUGUUUGUGGGGUAGUGGCUUACCAAGGCUUUGACGGGUAGCCGGCCUCAGAGGGCGACCGGCCACAUUGGGACUGAGAUACGGCGCAGACUCCUACGGGAGGCAGCAGUGGGGAAUAUUGCACAAUGGGCGGAAGCCUGAUGAAGCAACGCCGCGUGCGGGAUGACGGCCUUCGGGUUGUAAACCGCUUUCAGCAGGGGCGAAGCUUGUGGUGACGGUACCUGCAGAAGAAGCACCGGCUAACUACGUG
Molecule: ribosomal RNA, 465 nt
Filed under: uncultured bacterium
Lineage: Bacteria
Description: partial 16S ribosomal RNA
Rfam family: Bacterial small subunit ribosomal RNA
Source: RNAcentral